GACGAACGCUGGCGGCGUGCUUAACACAUGCAAGUCGAACGAUGAAGCGGUGCUUGCACCGUGGAUUAGUGGCGAACGGGUGAGUAAUACGUGAGUGACCUACCUUUGACUCUGGGAUAAGCCUGGGAAACUGGGUCUAAUACCGGAUACGACCAAUCUCUGCAUGGGGUGUUGGUGGAAAGCGUUAUGGAGUGGUUUUAGAUGGGCUCACGGCCUAUCAGCUUGUUGGAGAGGUAAUGGCUUACCAAGGCGACGACGGGUAGCCGGCCUGAGAGGGUGACCGGCCACACUGGGACUGAGACACGGCCCAGACUCCUACGGGAGGCAGCAGUGGGGAAUAUUGCACAAUGGGCGCAAGCCUGAUGCAGCGACGCCGCGUGAGGGAUGACGGCCUUCGGGUUGUAAACCUCUGUUAGCAUCGAAGAAGCGAAAGUGACGGUAGGUGCAGAGAAAGCGCCGGCUAACUACGUG
This 471-nucleotide ribosomal RNA is filed under the name uncultured bacterium. Its description in RNAcentral is "partial 16S ribosomal RNA". It matches the Rfam family "Bacterial small subunit ribosomal RNA", at positions 28 to 507 of the family's 1533-position model. The record is from RNAcentral.